Molecule: ribosomal RNA, 916 nt
Filed under: uncultured bacterium
Lineage: Bacteria
Description: bacterial SSU rRNA
Rfam family: Bacterial small subunit ribosomal RNA
Source: RNAcentral
UUGUUGGUAAGGUAAAAGCUUACCAAGGCUUCGAUCAGUAGCUGGUCUGAGAGGACGGCCAGCCACACUGGGACUGAGACACGGCCCAGACUCCUACGGGAGGCAGCAGUGGGGAAUUUUGGACAAUGGGGGCAACCCUGAUCCAGCCAUGCCGCGUGAGUGAAGAAGGCCUUCGGGUUGUAAAGCUCUUUCAGCCGGAACGAAACGGUUACGGUUAAUACCCGUGACUACUGACGGUACCGGAAGAAGAAGCACCGGCUAACUACGUGCCAGCAGCCGCGGUAAUACGUAGGGUGCGAGCGUUAAUCGGAAUUACUGGGCGUAAAGCGUGCGCAGGUGGUUUUGUAAGUCAGAUGUGAAAGCCCCGGGCUCAACCUGGGAACUGCGUUUGAAACUACAAGACUAGAGUGUGGCAGAGGGGGGUGGAAUUCCGCGUGUAGCAGUGAAAUGCGUAGAGAUGUGGAGGAACACCGAUGGCGAAGGCAGCCCCCUGGGUCAACACUGACGCUCAGGCACGAAAGCAUGGGGAGCAAACAGGAUUAGAUACCCAGGUAGUCCAUGCCCUAAACGAUGUCAACUAGUUGUCGGGCCUUUACGGGCUUGGUAACGUAGCUAACGCGUGAAGUUGACCGCCUGGGGAGUACGAUCGCAAGAUUAAAACUCAAAUGAAUUGACGGGGACCCGCACAAGCGGUGGAUUAUGUGGAUUAAUUCGAUGCAACGCGAAAAACCUUACCUACCCUUGACAUGUAUCGAAGCCCGCAGAAAAGCGGGGGUGCCCGAAAGGGAACGAUAACACAGGUGCUGCAUGGCUGUCGUCAGCUCGUGUCGUGAGAUGUUGGGUUAAGUCCCGCAACGAGCGCAACCCUUGUCAUUAAUUGCCAUCAUUUAGUUGGGCACUUUAAUGAGACUGCCGG